Molecule: ribosomal RNA, 220 nt
Filed under: uncultured soil bacterium
Lineage: Bacteria
Description: partial 16S ribosomal RNA
Rfam family: Bacterial small subunit ribosomal RNA
Source: RNAcentral
AGAUUGAACGCUGGCGGCAUGCCUUACACAUGCAAGUCGAACGGCAGCACGGACUUCGGUCUGGUGGCGAGUGGCGAACGGGUGAGUAAUAUAUCGGAACGUACCCUGGAGUGGGGGAUAACGCAGCGAAAGUUGCGCUAAUACCGCAUACGAUCUACGGAUGAAAGUGGGGGCUCGCAAGACCUCAUGCUCGUGGAGCGGCCGAUAUCUGAUUAGCUAG